UACAGAGGGUGCAAGCGUUGUUCGGAAUUACUGGGCGUAAAGCGCGCGCAGGCGGGUCUGUAAGUCGGAAGUGAAAUUGCACUGCUCAACGGUGUAGCUGCUUCUGAUACUGCAGACCUUGAGACCGGUAGAGGUUGGUAGAAUUGCAGGUGUAGCGGUGGAAUGCGUCGAGUUCUGCAAGACUCCCCCUGGCGAAGUCUGCCAACUGGGCCGUUUCUGACGCUGAGGCGCGCCAUCCUGGGGAGCAAACAGG
Molecule: ribosomal RNA, 253 nt
Filed under: uncultured bacterium
Lineage: Bacteria
Description: partial 16S ribosomal RNA
Rfam family: Bacterial small subunit ribosomal RNA
Source: RNAcentral